UCCGGUUUGUCACCGGCAGUCUCCAUAGAGUGCCCUUGCGUAGCAACUAUGGACAAGGGUUGCGCUCGUUGCGGGACUUAACCCAACAUCUCACGACACGAGCUGACGACAGCCAUGCAGCACCUGUGUUCCAGUUCCCUUUCAGGCACAGCCCCCUCUCAGGGGCCUUCCGGACAUGUCAAGGGUAGGUAAGGUUUUUCGCGUUGCAUCGAAUUAAUCCACAUAAUCCACCGCUUGUGCGGGUCCCCGUCAAUUCCUUUGAGUUUUAACCUUGCGGCCGUACUCCCCAGGCGGUCAACUUCACGCGUUAGCUUCGUUACUAAGGAAGUUUCCUUCCCCAACAACCAGUUGACAUCGUUUAGGGCGUGGACUAC
This 374-nucleotide unclassified non-coding RNA is filed under the name uncultured Gammaproteobacteria bacterium. RNAcentral's name for it is "contains 16S-23S intergenic spacer region". Lineage: Bacteria; Pseudomonadati; Pseudomonadota; Gammaproteobacteria. The record is from RNAcentral.